UGGGGAAUAUUGCACAAUGGGCGCAAGCCUGAUGCAGCCAUGCCGCGUGUAUGAAGAAGGCCUUCGGGUUGUAAAGUACUUUCAGCGGGGAGGAAGGCGAUAAGGUUAAUAACCUUGUCGAUUGACGUUACCCGCAGAAGAAGCACCGGCUAACUCCGUGCCAGCAGCCGCGGUAAUACGGAGGGUGCAAGCGUUAAACGGAAUUACUGGGCGUAAAGCGCACGCAGGCGGUCUGUCAAGUCGGAUGUGAAAUCCCCGGGCUCAACCUGGGAACUGCAUUCGAAACUGGCAGGCUAGAGUCUUGUAGAGGGGGGUAGAAUUCCAGGUGUAGCGGUGAAAUGCGUAGAGAUCUGGAGGAAUACCGGUGGCGAAGGCGGCCCCCUGGACAAAGACUGACGCUCAGGUGCGAAAGCGUGGGGAGCAAACA
RNAcentral lists this ribosomal RNA (427 nucleotides) under uncultured bacterium. Its description in RNAcentral is "partial 16S ribosomal RNA". It matches the Rfam family "Bacterial small subunit ribosomal RNA", at positions 355 to 774 of the family's 1533-position model. The record is from RNAcentral.